CCAGAGACCUCCACCCUGACCCCCGAGGGACUCCCACCCUGACCUUUGGGCCCACUCAACCCCUGGAAACACUCUGGGACCCCCACCCUGACACCUGAGAACCCUCCUGGACCUCCAGGAUCCCCCAUGCCCCCAGCCUGACCCCUGGGACCCCCUUAGGACCCCCACCCUGACCACUUGGGGACCCCUCUGAUAGCUCGGACCCUCUGGGACCCCCACUGUGACAGCUUUGGGACCCCAGCCAUGACCUCUGACCCCACCCAACCCCUAGGAGCCUUCUUGGAACCCCACUCUGACCACUCUGUGACCCCCACUCUGACCCUCAAGACCCUUCCAUGACCUCUAGCACCACCCCAGGACCCCUACCCUGACCACUGUGGGACCCCAACCAUGACCUCUGACCCCCUUGACCUCUGGGCCCCACUUUGGGCCCCCUACCCUGACCACUUUGGGACUCCCUGGGACCCCCACACUGACCACUGUGGGACUACAGCCAUGACCUGUGACCCCUUGAGCUCUGGGACCCCUCUUGGGACCCCCACCCUGACCCCCGAGAGCCCUCCCUGAUCUCGAGGACCCCCUGCUCCCCUAACCCUGACUGCUCUGUGAGCCCCACCCUGACCCCCGAGACCCUUCCAUGACCUCCAGCACCACCCCGGGACCCCCACCCUGACCGCUUUGAGACCCCUCUGAGCCUGGGAACCCUCUGGGCCCCCCCAGGUGCUGGCAGCGGCGCGGGGGGGCGGCGAGGCGGCGCGGCGGGAGCUGGCGGCUCUGCGUGCCGAGCACGGCGCGGCGCGUGCCGAGGUGGCGGAGGUGCUGGCGGCGCUGGAGGAGCUGGCACGCAGCUACGACCGCAAAGCGCAGGAGGCCGAGGACACCGGGCGCCACAACCGGCGCCUGGCCGACGAGCUGGCGCGCACCGAGGCGACCACGCUGUCGCUGGAGACGGAGCUGCAGCGCGUGCGGGACCUGGGCGGGCAGCAGCGCAAGCGGGCGGCCGAGGUGCUCAACGGGCUGAUGCGGGACCUCAGCGAGUUCAGCGUCAUCGUGGGCAACGGCGAGAUCAAGCUGGUGAGGGCGGCAGGAGCCACGCCGUGUCUGCCCAUGUGUGCCCAUGUGUGCCCAUGUGUGCUCAUGUGUGCUCAUGUGUGCCACGUGUGCCGUGCUGUGCUGUGUCAUGUGUGCCAUGCCGUGCCUGUGUGUGCCGUGCUGUGCUGUGUCUGUGUGUGCCGUUCCGUGCUGUGCUGUGCUGACCAUGCUGUGCCGUGCUGUGCCAUGAUGUGCUGACUGUGCCACGCUGUGCCAUGCCGUGCCAUGCUGAUCGUGCCGUACCAUGCUGAGCUGACCAUGCCAUGCUGACCAUUCUGUGCCAUGCUGUGCCAUGCUGACCAUGCCACGCUGUGCCAUGCUGUGCCAUGCUGACCAUGCCAUGCUGACCAUGCUGACCAUGCUGAGCCAUGCUGUGCCAUGCUGUGCCAUGCUGUGCCAUGCUGACCAUGGCAUGCUGACCAUGCUGACCAUGCUGAGCCAUGCUGUGCCAUGCUGUGCCAUGCUGACCAUGCCAUGCUGACCAUGCUGUGCCAUGCCAUGCCGUGCUGUGCCACGCCGUGCUGACCAUGCCGUGCCAUGGCAGCCGGUGGAGGUGAGCGGUGCCAUCGAGGAGGAGUUUGCGGUGGCACGGCUGUACAUCAGCAAGAUCAAGUCGGAGGUGAAGUCGGUGGUGAAGCGGUGCCGGCAGCUGGAGGGGC
Molecule: long non-coding RNA, 1751 nt
Filed under: Numida meleagris (helmeted guineafowl)
Lineage: Eukaryota; Metazoa; Chordata; Aves; Galliformes; Numididae
Description: lncRNA (ENSNMEG00000000281.1)
Source: RNAcentral